UACGAAGGGGGCUAGCGUUGCUCGGAUUUACUGGGCGUAAAGGGCGCGUAGGCGGACAUUUAAGUCAGGGGUGAAAUCCCGGGCUCAACCUCGGAACUGCCUUUGAUACUGGGUGUCUUGAGUGUGAGAGAGGUAUGUGGAACUCCGAGUGUAGAGGUGAAAUUCGUAGAUAUUCGGAAGAACACCAGUGGCGAAGGCGACAUACUGGCUCAUUACUGACGCUGAGGCGCGAAAGCGUGGGGAGCAAACAGG
This 252-nucleotide ribosomal RNA is filed under the name uncultured bacterium. Its description in RNAcentral is "partial 16S ribosomal RNA". It matches the Rfam family "Bacterial small subunit ribosomal RNA", at positions 524 to 776 of the family's 1533-position model. The record is from RNAcentral.